UACCGCCCCCAGUCUACCGCCCCCUCCCCAGGCCCUGCCAUCAGCCUACUGCCCCCUCCCCACAGUCCCCAGCCAUCAACCUAGUGCCCCUCCUCAGGCCCUGCCAUCGGCCUACUGCCCUCCUCUGACCCGCCUACCGCCCCCAGCCUACCACCCCCUCCCCAGGCCCUGCCAUCAGCCUACUGCCCCCUCACCUCCCCGGCCAUCGACCUAGUGCCAUCCCCUGCUCUGCCACUCUCCCCACCGCCAGUCUACUGCCCCCUCCCCAGGCCCUGCCAUCAGCCUAGUGCUUCCCUCCCCCCACCCCCUGCCUGCUGCCCCCUCCCCAGGCCCCGUCAUCAGCCUACUGCCCCCCUUUGACCCUCCUCCCACUGUCAGCCUACCACCCACUUCCCAGGCCCUGUCAUCAGCCUAGUGCCCCCCUCUCUGCCCCCUCCCCCCACCCUCAGUCUAGUGCCCUCUUACCUUCCCCGCUAGGGUUGCCAACAUUGUAAUAUUUAAAAACCGGAGACUCCAGCAGGAGUGUCCCCUGCCCUGUCCCUUUCCCGAGGACCCCCUUUCCCCUAAGCCUCACCCCUGCCCUUUCCCCCUGAGACUCUGCCCCUGCACACUGCUCUUCCCUCUGCCCGGAGGGCCUUGCCUGUGGCGCCGGGCUGGGAGCUGCAGCCACCCACCGCAGGUAGGAGUUUCUCAUAUAGGUCACUCUUCAUAUAGGCUGUACUCUUCAAUUCCUCAGAAUGGGAAUAGGGCAGGAACAGUCUCUCUGAAAUUCAGUAGCACUUCCUGCUUCACUGAAGACAUCCCAGAAGACACUUUACAGUAGCAUCAGACACCAGAAAUUCCAUUGCAAUCUGUGAUGUCACUGAGGUUGCAUCUACAAUGGAAAACUGUACCAUUGCUCAUUGCAUCAAUGUGAUUCAACUGGUACAGACUACCCUGGUGCAGAUCAUCCAAAGUAGCCAUUUUGUUUCUGAUACACAAAUCCGCACCCAUGACUUUCUAGCUCCUGCACUUAACAGUUGGUGGUACACUCAUGGAAGGAGGCCUAUUUGCCUUGGGAGAGUGGAGUUUUUAAGUUCUGGCUCCCAUGAAAUCAGUGGGGGUUUUGCCAUUGACUUUAGGCUCAGGAGGACAGGAUGUCACCCUGGUUUGUAUGGCUCCUCCUCUGAAUUCCAAAGACGUUUGUAGCCACCAAUAUUUCAUAUCUAAAUGACAGCGUGUAAAAAAAAAUCAUUUAUUUUGCAUGAGCUAUGUAGUCAGUCUGGUGAUAAACUGAGGGACAGAGUAAUCUGUGCUGUAAAGGAAUGCAGAAUUCCAUUUUCACUGGGUUUAGCUGUCAUGUUUAUCUAGUCCCACAAUGUUCAGCAGGAGUCACUUAGUGCUACCAAAACAUGUAGCUGGGUAGUAACAGAAGAGGUGCAGAAAAGAGAAGAUAGGAAAGGCAGGACCAAGAGAAGACUAGAAGGAGGUGUGGGGGGACACUACCGGAGCUGGGAUGAAAG
Long non-coding RNA from Mauremys mutica (yellowpond turtle), 1502 nucleotides. RefSeq lists it as uncharacterized. The transcript has 3 exons. Lineage: Eukaryota; Metazoa; Chordata; Testudines; Geoemydidae. The record is from RefSeq and is a predicted model, not a curated record.